CUACUUCCUGCCUCCCCAGCAGCAUCAAAGAGAAAUAACUCCUCUAGAAUUACAAGCUGAGUUCUGCUUGGGACUGAGACUCCUUUCACCAGCAGUUCUGCUUGUCCGGGUACGUAAGCUGGCACUCUCAUCCCUGAGAGCUAUGAACCCCUACAGCAGCAGUCACAUGACGGAUGCAUGUAUCCUUUUGCACUCAAAAAAUCAGGCGUUGGGUACAAAAACUACACCAUGUAGCCACAUUCUUUAUGUCUUCAAGGAGACACUUCUGCAGUUGUCCUCAAGGCUCAGCAUUUCCCUGGCUGUGUCAUGUGGUAACUGCAGUCUAGAUGUUGGUCUAAUUGCCAGAAAAGAAGAUACAGAUAGAUCCUCAGCAAGCAGAGGCUUUCAGCAUCUUCAGUGACGAGUAAGAGGCAUACAAGAGGAAAUUUAAAGAGGAUGACAGAGCACAAUUU
Molecule: long non-coding RNA, 452 nt
Filed under: Cricetulus griseus (Chinese hamster)
Lineage: Eukaryota; Metazoa; Chordata; Mammalia; Rodentia; Cricetidae
Description: lncRNA (ENSCGRG00015042914.1)
Source: RNAcentral